UUUAUUGGAGCUAGAAUAACAUUCUCGACAAUUGCAGUUUGCUGAAUGUUGUCCUCCCUCUUUGCUAAAGCUAUCAUAGCCUCCACAAGUUGGUCUAUCUGGUUUUUCAUAGAGUCCACAUCUCCUCUCAAUGCAAUAUGACUUUGCUCCAACGGAUCCAUGAUCUUUCAAGAGCUACCUCAAGUCCGAUACGAGUGUUGGGAAUUCAACUACGGGUUAUGGAAAAAGGAUGGGAUGAGUUUUUUUGUUUAUGAAAAUGAUAUGCAAUU
Molecule: long non-coding RNA, 269 nt
Filed under: Lathyrus oleraceus (garden pea)
Lineage: Eukaryota; Viridiplantae; Streptophyta; Magnoliopsida; Fabales; Fabaceae
Description: Pisum sativum (pea) long non-coding RNA (PSAT_LNC038963)
Source: RNAcentral